GCCCAAGAGAUCGGGAUAACACCUGGAAACAGAUGCUAAUACCGGAUAACAAUAGAUGAUGCCUAUCAACUGUUUAAAAGAUGGUUCUGCUAUCACUCUUGGAUGGACCUGCGGUGCAUUAGCUAGUUGGUAGGGUAACGGCCUGCCAAGGCGAUGAUGCAUAGCCGAGUUGAGAGACUGAUCGGCCACAUUGGGACUGAGACACGGCCCAAACUCCUACGGGAGGCAGCAGGC
This 234-nucleotide ribosomal RNA is filed under the name uncultured Lactobacillus sp. RNAcentral describes it as "partial 16S ribosomal RNA". It matches the Rfam family "Bacterial small subunit ribosomal RNA", at positions 128 to 354 of the family's 1533-position model. Lineage: Bacteria; Bacillati; Bacillota; Bacilli; Lactobacillales; Lactobacillaceae. The record is from RNAcentral.